RNAcentral lists this ribosomal RNA (465 nucleotides) under uncultured bacterium. RNAcentral's name for it is "partial 16S ribosomal RNA". It matches the Rfam family "Bacterial small subunit ribosomal RNA", at positions 28 to 507 of the family's 1533-position model. The record is from RNAcentral.
GACGAACGCUGGCGGCGUGCUUAACACAUGCAAGUCGAACGGAAAGGCCCUGCUUGCAGGGUACUCGAGUGGCGAACGGGUGAGUAACACGUGGGUGAUCUGCCCUGCACUUCGGGAUAAGCCUGGGAAACUGGGUCUAAUACCGGAUAGGAGCCAUUUUUAGUGUGAUGGUUGGAAAGUUUUUUCGGUGUAGGAUGAGCUCGCGGCCUAUCAGCUUGUUGGUGGGGUAAUGGCCUACCAAGGCGGCGACGGGUAGCCGGCCUGGGGGGGUGGACGGCCACAUUUGGACUGGGAAUCGGCCCAGAACCCUACCGGGGGCAGCAGGUGGGAAUAUUGCACAAUGGGGGCAAGCCUGAUGCCGCGAAGCCGCGUGGGGGAUGACGGGCUUCGGGUUGUAAACUCCUUUCGCUAGGGACGAAGCUUUUUGUGACGGUACCUAGAUAAGAAGCACCGGCUAACUACGUG